GGAGGGUGCAAGCGUUAUCCGGAUUCACUGGGUUUAAAGGGUGUGUAGGCGGAUAUUUAAGUCAGUGGUGAAAUCUCCGGGCUCAACCCGGAAACUGCCAUUGAUACUAUUUAUCUUGAAUUCUGUUGAGGUGGGCGGAAUACAUCAUGUAGCGGUGAAAUGCUUAGAUAUGAUGUAGAACACCGAUUGCGAAGGCAGCUCACUAAGCAGCGAUUGACGCUGAGGCACGAAAGCGUGGGGAUCAAACAGGAUUAGAUACCCUGGUAGUCCACGCCCUAAACGAUGAUUACUCGACAUACGCGAUAUACAGUGUGUGUCUGAGCGAAAGCAUUAAGUAAUCCACCUGGGAAGUACGAUCGCAAGAUUG
RNAcentral lists this ribosomal RNA (367 nucleotides) under uncultured organism. RNAcentral describes it as "bacterial SSU rRNA". It matches the Rfam family "Bacterial small subunit ribosomal RNA", at positions 527 to 896 of the family's 1533-position model. The record is from RNAcentral.